CGUAGGGCGCAAGCGUUGUCCGGAAUUAUUGGGCGUAAAGAGCUCGUAGGCGGCUUGUCACGUCGGAUGUGAAAGCCCGGGGCUUAACCCCGGGUCUGCAUUCGAUACGGGCUAGCUAGAGUGUGUAGGGGAGAUCGGAAUUCCUGGUGUAGCGGUGAAAUGCGCAGAUAUCAGGAGGAACACCGGUGGCGAAGGCGGAUCUCUGGGCCAUUACUGACGCUGAGGAGCGAAAGCGUGGGGAGCGAACAGGAUUAGAUACCCUGGUAGUCCACGCCGUAAACGUUGGGAACUAGGUGUUGGCGACAUUCCACGUCGUCGGUGCCGCAGCUAACGCAUUAAGUUCCCCGCCUGGGGAGUACGGCCGCAAGGCUA
This 372-nucleotide ribosomal RNA is filed under the name uncultured organism. RNAcentral's name for it is "bacterial SSU rRNA". It matches the Rfam family "Bacterial small subunit ribosomal RNA", at positions 526 to 896 of the family's 1533-position model. The record is from RNAcentral.